CCCAGUCCUGCAAAGAGCUUUAGAUACAAUCUCAUUCAAAUCCUCCCAAUAACCCUUUAAGAAACGGAGCCAAGAUGGAAAAGGGCCCAGGGGAGCAGGAGGGGUAUGGGAAGCGGGAAAAUUAGCACUGAGGCCUGGAAGCUUUUAUGAGCACGGAUCUCCCCUGGUUGGUUGAAGAACACAUCAGAAGCUCUCCAGAGGCUGCUGUGAAGAUGCCCUGGAAUUCCUGGUGUGCCUGAUGAGGUGUCGCUACCCCGAGGCUGUCAGCCAGCUGGCCCCUCCGAGCAGCCCCUCUGGGCUCUGGAAGCUCCAGACCCCGCUGCUGCUGCCGUGAGGAAUGAUGUCAGAGAUGGUUAGUCAUUACGGAGCCCUUCCUGAGCAUCAGGGGCUGGCCUGGUGGCUGAGUGGUUGGGUUCGCGCGCUCCACUGCAGGCGGCCCAGUGUUUUCGUUGGUUCGAUUCCUGGGCGCGGACAUGGCACUGCUCAUCAGGCCAUGCUGAGGCAGCGUCCCACAUGCCACAACUAGAAGGACCCACAACAAAGAGUAUACAACUAUG
RNAcentral lists this long non-coding RNA (557 nucleotides) under Equus asinus (donkey). Its description in RNAcentral is "lncRNA (ENSEASG00005038485.1)". Lineage: Eukaryota; Metazoa; Chordata; Mammalia; Perissodactyla; Equidae. The record is from RNAcentral.